Gastrolobium bilobum is the source of this 1605-nucleotide long non-coding RNA. RefSeq lists it as uncharacterized. The transcript is spliced from 3 exons. Lineage: Eukaryota; Viridiplantae; Streptophyta; Magnoliopsida; Fabales; Fabaceae. The record is from RefSeq and is a predicted model, not a curated record.
UCCUCAUCACGUGAGCGCACAGAGUAAGCAAAACAAAACUGAUCUGUUUGUGGCACCGGUUUAGAACAUUAACCAGACCAUGAUUCCCUUUCUUUCAAUCUAUUCGCAUGAUCCACUCAAAGAAAAAUUAAUAGACUACCUUGGAUUCAGAAGUCAGAAGAUGUACAAAACCGAUCAGCCCUUGAUUCUCCUCAAAACCGCAACCUUAAUAGAGAAAUAGCGCAGAGAAGAUUGUAACCCAGACCUCGCUUCCUUAAACCGUGAACAUAGAUUUCAACUUGAGUUAUUCCCCUUUCUUUUCCUCUGGUUCAGCGAUGACAACCAUCACCAAGGAGGUGAGGUAUGCUCUUGCUGUUUUCUUGUUCCUUCUCUCUUGAGGCAGUUCUGAUUGAGGCUUCCAUUGCAUGCACAUGAUCAAGCUGCGAUAGAAUUCGUCCUCCCAUUGCAUGCGGUUGGAACCUGUUCCUUGGAGCUUAGGAUGAGUGUUAGGGCUGUUCCUUGAUUGUUGGUGAUUCAGUGUACGAAUAUAAGCAUGUGCACGUAACUCUUAUUGAGUGGGCUGACUUUUGGUGCUGUUGAUUAUUGCUUGGAUGCAAGGAGGAUGUAAAAGCUUUUGAGGACUUGGAUAUUUGCUGUUGGCUUCUACUGUUUUGGGCAUGCUGCUAUUGAUGUGAUAUUUUAUGGAUGACUGUAUGAAAUUGAGAAGCUUUUAUUACUGUGAACUAUGAUUUUAUUAUUGCAUUACGAUUUUAUGACCAGCAAGUAUUAUGGAAACAGAUGUUGAAACGUUUGCGAAAAGGAUUUUGACAUGUUAUCUAAAUGCUGAGUUUUGAAAAGUCUUUGCGAGCACUUUGUAAGUUGUCGUACUGGGGCUACGGACCUCCGAUUUUCUUAUAAUUUAUAUGCACGCGUAGCCCCAAGUGUCUAGUUUCAUUAUAUAUAAACCUUGCAAAGAAAUUCUGAAAGCUCGAUUUAUUAUGAAUUUUACCAGCCAGGACGUUUGUGACAUUUUCACUGUUUUAUCUCUUAUUUUGCGAGUUAUAUUUCGUGGGGCAAACCAACUGCAAAUAACUAUUAUUUUAUAUGAACGUGAAGCCCCAAAUGUCUAGUUUCCAGAUUACAAAGAAUAUGUUUUUGAAUCGUUGAACUGGAUUUUAUACGAAUUUUUAAACACAGCAAGGUCUAUCAGGAAAUUUAUAUUUUUAGUAAGUUUAAGAAAUUUUGCGUAUUCUGAUUUUUGUAAUUAACCAGAUCCCCUCUUUAGUUUUAAUUGGCAAUGUAAAAGUGAAUUUUUUCAGUCUCUAAAAUACUAUUAAAGAACUCUAAUUCCGCUUAGCAAACAACUCUCUUGGAGGCCUACAAGAGAGGGUGUUACACAAAUAUUCUGGGAUUUUGAAGAACAGUAGCUGUGUUGUGUGUACAGUAGGCUAUUGGGAGUUUGUGGACCCUAGAUUGAUGAAGUUGAACUUCUGUAAUUAAUGAACUAAGUCAGAAUCAUGUGAUUAAGGGCUUGUGGCUUUGUUGGGAGCCUUAAGACGUAAAUCGUUAAAGGAGAACGUAGUCUUUAUGUUAAUGCUUUUGAGCUAUGUAUGUUGAUACAUUUGU